RNAcentral lists this ribosomal RNA (872 nucleotides) under bacterium ROMEm4sh241. RNAcentral's name for it is "bacterial SSU rRNA". It matches the Rfam family "Bacterial small subunit ribosomal RNA", at positions 8 to 871 of the family's 1533-position model. The record is from RNAcentral.
AGAGUUUGAUCCUGGCUCAGAACGAACGCUGGCGGCGUGCUUAACACAUGCAAGUCGAACGCGAAAGUUUUCUUCGGAAGACGAGUAGAGUGGCGCACGGGUGAGUAACGCGUAAGUAAUCUACCCCGGCAUCUGGAAUAACUCACCGAAAGGUGUGCUAAUACCGGAUACGUUGGUAACAAGAAAGGUGGCCUCUGCAUAUGCUACCGUGCUGGGAUGAGCUUGCGUACCAUUAGCUAGUUGGUAGGGUAAUGGCCUACCAAGGCAACGAUGGUUAGCGGGUCUGAGAGGAUGAUCCGCCACACUGGAACUGGAACACGGACCAGACUCCUACGGGAGGCAGCAGUGAGGAAUAUUGCGCAAUGGGGGCAACCCUGACGCAGCGACGCCGCGUGGAUGAUGAAGGCCUUCGGGUCGUAAAAUCCUGUCAGAUGGAAAGAAGUGCUAUGUGGUUAAUACCCAUGUAGCUUGACGGUACCAUCGAAGGAAGCACCGGCUAACUCCGUGCCAGCAGCCGCGGUAAUACGGAGGGUGCAAGCGUUGUUCGGAAUUACUGGGCGUAAAGCGCGCGUAGGCGGUUUGUUAAGUCAGAUGUGAAAGCCCAUGGCUCAACCAUGGACGUGCAUUUGAAACUGGCAGACUUGAGUAUUGGAGGGGGUGGUGGAAUUCCCGGUGUAGAGGUGAAAUUCGUAGAUAUCGGGAGGAAUACCGGUGGCGAAGGCGACCACCUGGCCAAAUACUGACGCUGAGGUGCGAAAGCGUGGGGAGCAAACAGGAUUAGAUACCCUGGUAGUCCACGCCGUAAACGAUGAGAACUAGGUGUUGGGACGGUUAAUCGUCUCAUUGCCGCAGCUAACGCAUUAAGUUCUCCG